This is a long non-coding RNA of Cannabis sativa, 563 nucleotides long. RefSeq lists it as uncharacterized. NCBI's taxonomy places the organism in Eukaryota, Viridiplantae, Streptophyta, Magnoliopsida, Rosales, Cannabaceae. The transcript is spliced from 2 exons. The record is from RefSeq and is a predicted model, not a curated record.
UCUCUCUCUCUCUCUCUCUCUCUCUCUCUCUCUCUCUCUCUCUCUCUCUCUCUCUCGGUUCAACACUAAUGAAAAAUGAAAAUUUAACUCCGGCGACCUUGAAGCCACAUCACAGCUCCGAAGCCUUGAAGCCGCCUCACAACCCCGAAGCCCUAAAGCCACCACACAGCCACGAAGCAAGUCCGUCGACUUCCCUAGUUUCUUUCUCUUUCAUAUAUUUCGGUGCUGGUGAGACGAACGAUGGGGACGCGGAGCUGGUGGCGCUGGUGAGACGAAUGUGGAAGUUUGGGUUUUGUAAUGUUGGCCAGAGUUGAACGACGGGGAUGGAGUUGGGCUUCACCUGUUUUCGAUUCCCAAAUUGUUUAACAUUCAGGAUCUAUUUUUUUUUUUUUUUGAAUAGACAUUCAGGAUCUAUUUUAGUGCCAUGAGAUUAGUGUUUUUUGUAACCCUUGCAUAAAAAAGAAAAGGGUAUGAACUUGUAAAAAUAAUAAAUUGUAUUUUUUUAUUUUUGUUUGUAUAAUUCAGUAAAGAAGUUUAGAAUAAUUGUAGUUCUUUUUAGUAUU